This 253-nucleotide ribosomal RNA is filed under the name uncultured bacterium. RNAcentral describes it as "partial 16S ribosomal RNA". It matches the Rfam family "Bacterial small subunit ribosomal RNA", at positions 524 to 776 of the family's 1533-position model. The record is from RNAcentral.
UACGUAGGGUGCGAGCGUUAAUCGGAAUUACUGGGCGUAAAGCGUGCGCAGGCGGUCUCGCAAGUCCGAUGUGAAAUCCCCGGGCUCAACCUGGGAACUGCAUUGGAAACUACGAGGCUGGAGUACGGCAGAGGGGGGUGGAAUUCCACGUGUAGCAGUGAAAUGCGUAGAUAUCAAGAGGAACACCUGCGGCGAAGGCGGGUUGCUGGGCCGACACUGACGCUGAUGCGCGAAAGCCAGGGGAGCGAACGGG